UGGGGAAUAUUGGACAAUGGGGGGAACCCUGAUCCAGCAAUGCCGCGUGUGUGAAGAAGGCCUGAGGGUUGUAAAGCACUUUCAGAGGGGAGGAGGACUAUUAGGUUAAGAGCUAGAUAGUUGGACGUUACCCUCAGAAGCAGCACCGGCUAACUCCGUGCCAGCAGCCGCGGUAAUACGGGGGGUGCAAGCGUUAAUCGGAAUUAUUGGGCGUAAAGGGUGCGUAGGUUGUUUGAUAAGAUAUAUGUGAAAUACCUGGGCUCAACCUGGGAAGGUCAUAUAAGACUGUCAGACUCGAGUAUGGGAGAGGGUAGAGGAAUUUCCGGUGUAGCGGUGAAAUGCGUAGAUAUCGGAG
This 355-nucleotide ribosomal RNA is filed under the name uncultured bacterium. Its description in RNAcentral is "bacterial SSU rRNA". It matches the Rfam family "Bacterial small subunit ribosomal RNA", at positions 355 to 702 of the family's 1533-position model. The record is from RNAcentral.